UUACGCUGUUAUCCCUAAGGUAAUUUAGUAUUAUAAUCAACAAAAAUGGAUCAAAUAUAUAUAAAUAAAUAUAAAAAAAUAAAAAGAGUUAAUUAAAUCUUUCCAUCACCCCAACAAAAUAAAUUUUCAAAUUAAAAAAAUAUCAUACAAAAAAAUAAAAAUAUAUAUAAACUCUAUAGGGUCUUCUCGUCCCAAAAAAAUAUUUAGGCAUUUUAACCUAAAAUUUAAAUUCAAUAAAUAAAUUAAAGACAGUUUACACCUCGUCAAACCAUUCAUUCCAGCCUACAAUUAAAAGACUAAUGAUUAUGCUACCUUUGCACGGUCAAAAUACCGCGGCCCUUCAAUACUCAGUGGGCAGGCCAUACAUCAAAAUAUAUUCAAGAAGAGAUGUUUUUGAUAAACAGGCG
This 407-nucleotide ribosomal RNA is filed under the name Cryptocercus sp. CHIA2. RNAcentral describes it as "partial mitochondrial 16S rRNA gene". The record is from RNAcentral. Lineage: Eukaryota; Metazoa; Arthropoda; Insecta; Blattodea; Cryptocercidae.